RNAcentral lists this ribosomal RNA (428 nucleotides) under Fischerella sp. BOTUAT 46. RNAcentral describes it as "bacterial SSU rRNA". It matches the Rfam family "Bacterial small subunit ribosomal RNA", at positions 356 to 797 of the family's 1533-position model. The record is from RNAcentral. Lineage: Bacteria; Bacillati; Cyanobacteriota; Cyanophyceae; Nostocales; Hapalosiphonaceae.
GGGGAAUUUUCCGCAAUGGGCGAAAGCCUGACGGAGCAAUACCGCGUGAGGGAGGAAGGCUCUUGGGUUGUAAACCUCUUUUCUCAGGGAAUAAGCAAGUGAAGGUACCUGAGGAAUCAGCAUCGGCUAACUCCGUGCCAGCAGCCGCGGUAAUACGGAGGAUGCAAGCGUUAUCCGGAAUGAUUGGGCGUAAAGCGUCCGUAGGUGGCUGUGUGUGUCUAUUGUUAAAGAGUUUGGCUCAACCAAAUAAGGGCGGUAGAAACUACACAGCUAGAGUGCGUUCGGGGCAGAGGGAAUUCCUGGUGUAGCGGUGAAAUGCGUAGAGAUCAGGAAGAACACCGGUGGCGAAAGCGCUGCUGCUAGGCCGCAACUGACACUGAGGGACGAAAGCUAGGGGAGCGAAUGGGAUUAGAUACCCCAGUAGUCAA